Molecule: ribosomal RNA, 449 nt
Filed under: uncultured Selenomonas sp.
Lineage: Bacteria; Bacillati; Bacillota; Negativicutes; Selenomonadales; Selenomonadaceae
Description: bacterial SSU rRNA
Rfam family: Bacterial small subunit ribosomal RNA
Source: RNAcentral
UGGGGAAUCUUCCGCAAUGGGGGGCGAAAGCCUGACGGAGCAACGCCGCGUGAGUGAAGAAGGUCUUCGGAUCGUAAAGCUCUGUUGAGAGGGACGAGAGAUUACUUCAGGAAAUGGGAGUAAGAGGACGGUACCUUUCGAGGAAGCCACGGCUAACUACGUGCCAGCAGCCGCGGUAAUACGUAGGUGGCGAGCGUUGUCCGGAAUUAUUGGGCGUAAAGGGAGCGCAGGUGGGACUUCAAGUCAGUCUUAAAAGUGCGGGGCUCAACCCCGUGAUGGGAUUGAAACUGUCUCCCUUGAGUGAGCGAGAAGUAAGCGGAAUGCGUGGUGUAGCGGUGAAAUGCAUAGAUAUCACGCAGAACGCCGAUUGCGAAGGCAGCUUACCGGCGCUCAACUGACGCUCAGGCACGAAAGUGCGGGUAUCGAACAGGAUUAGAUACCCUGGUAGU